Molecule: long non-coding RNA, 997 nt
Filed under: Nicotiana benthamiana
Lineage: Eukaryota; Viridiplantae; Streptophyta; Magnoliopsida; Solanales; Solanaceae
Description: long non-coding RNA (NBEN_LNC018429)
Source: RNAcentral
AGAGAUGGACCUCAAUACAGCUGAGGACACACGCGAACAGAUGCGAUCCGAUUUCAAUUAAAAAUUUAAUCUUAACUUUUGUUAAACCAAUUCAAUAACACUUAAUUGAAGAUCAUAUACUAGUUAAACAUAAAGGCAAACAAAUUCCAACAGUAUAACCGAACACAUACAAUAUGAUUAUAUAUAUACUUGUUACUUUCAAACAUAUAUCGCAACAUAUACACGGAUUUCGGAUAAAAAAUUGAACAAAUUGCAACACGAACAGAAGAAAUAUAGCUUGAACCAACUGAUCAGAUCAGGACCAAUGACGACAACCUCGAAACUUCAAUAAUUGGCUCCGAGCAGAUCUCACAACGAGUUCCAAAAUGGACUCAAACUAAUAAAACUUCAGCAGCAGAAAAUGAGGCUCACGACCACCCAGAAAUUGAACUGCAGAAAGGGAGGAAGCGAGGGAUCGAGAGAAGGAAUGCUGAUUUCGACCGGCACCUAAGAGGCCGUGAAUUAUGAAAGCUGUGAAAUUGCAAGACUUUUGCGGCAAAGACCAGGCUUCUUCAUAAGCUAGGGUGGCGAUGGAAGGGUUUGGCCGGUGGAUAAACCGUGACCAUAUGGUUCAAACCCGGUUCAGAAAUCUAAGGACCUUGACUGGGUUGGUUCUGCAACUGAUGAUUUUUGGGAGAGGGUGGCCGUUAGCUGCUGUGGAGCAGAUGAAGCGGCUACUUCUCUAGGCUAAAAAUGGGAUCAACAACUACUGGUUGAGGGGAAGGGCAGCGAAUUGGGUCUGUGUAUGAGGAAGGGAACCUAUUUGGGGAGGGUGGGGAUCCCUUGUUUUGGUUCUGUGCGGCUGAUCUCACCAGGUAGGGAUUUCUAGGUUAAUUGUUUUAAAUGUGGAGUGAAGGGGUAUUUAGGUUAGGGGAUAUGGGCUUAUGGAUUGGAGAAGAAAGAAAUCGGGCUUAUUCAAAUUUUGGAUCAACUUUUGUCUAAGAAUGAUCCUCUCUUG